ACAAACUUGGUCAUUUAGAGGAAGUAAAAGUCGUAACAAGGUCUCCGUAGGUGAACCUGCGGAGGGAUCAUUACUGAGUGAGGGCUCACGCCCGACCUCCAACCCUUUGUGAACGUAACUUGUUGCUUCGGGGGCGACCCUGCCGUCAUCUGGCGACGGGCGCCCCCGGAGGCCUUCAAACACUGCAUCUCUGCGUCGGAGUCAAAAGUUAAUUAAACAAAACUUUCAACAACGGAUCUCUUGGUUCUGGCAUCGAUGAAGAACGCAGC
RNAcentral lists this unclassified non-coding RNA (269 nucleotides) under uncultured fungus. RNAcentral's name for it is "partial contains small subunit ribosomal RNA, internal transcribed spacer 1, and 5.8S ribosomal RNA". The stretch from base 1 to 73 matches the Rfam family "Eukaryotic small subunit ribosomal RNA", at positions 1759 to 1831 of the family's 1831-position model. The record is from RNAcentral. Lineage: Eukaryota; Fungi.